GCAGGGAGAGAGUGAGAAGAAUGUGGAGGCACAAUGAAGGGAGAUGAAUAGACACAUAAUACAAUCAUUUAUAUAUGAGCAUGUCAUGCCAUACUGAAACACACUAUUUUGCACAAUAACAUUUUUUGUUUUCUCAUGUUUGUAUUUUAUAAUUUUUAUUAAUUAUUUUAUUUAUUUACAUCCCAAGUGUUGCCUCCCUCUUGGUCUCCUCUCCCAAAGUACUUCCCCUUCCUCCCUUCCCCUUUGCCUCUGAGAGGGUUCCCCCCUUCCUCGGGCAUCAAGUCUCUACUCACUCCCAUCUGAGUAUCCUCUCCCUCUGAGGCCAGAGAAGGCAGUCUUCUGCUACAUAUGCCCCAGGGCCUCAGACCAGCCUGUGUAUGCUCUUUGGUUGGUGGCUCAGUCUCUGGGAGCUCCCUGGGGUCCAGGUUAGUUGACACUGUUGGUCUUUUCAUAGGGUUGCCAUCCCCUUCAGUUCCUUCAAUCCUUCCCCUAACUCUUCCAUAGGGGUCCCCAAGCUUAGGCCAAUGCUUGGCUGUGAGUAUCUGCAUCUGUCUCAGUCAGCUGCUGGUGGAGCCUCUCAGAGGACAGCCAUGCCAGGGUCCUCUCUGCAAGCACAACAUAGCAUCAGUAGUAAUGUCAGGGAUUGGUCCCAAGUUGGCCCUUUAAAAGUCUAACUCGACAGCUUGAUCAGAAUGGAGCAUGUAGUUCCCUUUGCUUCAAAACAGGAUCUCCCUCUGUAGAACAAGCUCUCCCGCGUGACAGAAGGCCUGACGCUGGUCAUAGGCAAGGAUCACUCCCUUUUCUGAGACUGGAGGAGAGCCCACUAUCACUAAAUGAUGAUGAGUUCAAGAGGAAGUAUCUGCAGGUGUGUGGCUCCUCUUCCUCCCGUCUGAAGGGCCAUGAGUGAUGUCAGUAGAUCAGGUCAUAUGUCACACUGGCUAUGUUCGUUUCAGUCCCAUACAGGGUGGCUUUUGGAUGCCAUGGAUGUACAUGGCUCUAGAAACAUUUAGUCAUGCUUGCGGAGAUUUUUUCUUUUUACAAUCUUAGGGGUAGCAUCUGAGAAAACUUGCUUUAACCUGUUUGUAGUUUUGAGGGUGUUUGCAUGGUAUUAUUAUUCUUAAACAUUCAUGUUUGAAGGAUGGAUAACUCUGAAGAGUUUCAAGUAUCAUACGACAAGUUCUCUCUAAGACAGCGCUUGGAAGAUAGAAUGAUGUUUGCUUCUUCUCAGUUAGGAAACUUACUGUUUAAAAAUUGAAUAGUCCACAUUACUUGGCAUCUCAUUUGAAUCAGUUGACUCAAGGUAAAAUGAGCAUAGGUACCCAAGAUAUUACACAGGGGGGGAAUCAGUGAGAUUAAUCAAGUGAGUUACACAUCUAGUCUCAUUUAAGAUUGUCACCAAUAAAUGACAGAGAUGUUUACUACUUAUAGAAACCCAAACAUUAGAUGCUACAAACUAUUAAAUGUUUCUAUAGUUUAGAAAUAAGAGAGAAAAUGAGGUGUUCAUUGUUUCCAGCCCCAUACAUUGUUUAAAAUAAUUGUGUUUAAGGGCAGCUACUCAUUCACUUGUUUCUGUUUAAAUGAAGAACAUUCUAGCAACUUUUGACAUUUAAAAAUUAACUGUUUACAUGGAGAUAAUCUGCUAGAAUGUUUUCUCCCAUGAAUUUAAAGAGAUUGAUAAACACUUGGGUAAAUUGUGUUGCAUGUUCAUAUUACUGCCUUUCAAUUAUAUUUUCCUAUAACUAUAUACAGUAAAAAUGAAGCCAUCUGUCCAUGGCAGGCAAUGGUUAUCAUUCUUGUUUAUUUUAUUCUUAAGCUUAAAGCAUUUCUUCAGCUGAAAGAUAAUUUUAGAAAUUAAGACAAAGGUAAAAAAGAUACUGGAUUCAUAGUAAUGAAGAAAGUUAUGAACUGAGUAACCAGUUGAAAAUGUAUAUCCAGGACAUUCAAAGAAAGCAAGUGUGUGCAGUUUACUUGACUAAGCUAUUGAAUUUCCAACACGAAACAAGGCAUUAAAUAUGUGCAACAGAACACAUUAUGUAUGGGCAUAUUUUACCAUUUUGAUCAUAGAAUGUUUCAAAGGUUAAACAGAGUGAGAAUUAUUCCAGUUAGUGUUUGGAUUUCAUGCUCAUGUUUUGCAGUUUUUCCCUUGGCUUUUUACAGUCUCUCAAAUCUUUGAGUUGGCAAUUUGCAGUUGGUUGAUAUAUCUCUAUAUCUCUAUAUCUAUGUAUCUAUAUAUAUCCAAACAUUGGAUGUUAUAUAUAUAUAUAUAUAUAUAUAUAUAUAUAUAUAUAUAUACACACAUAUAUUCAGUUUUAAGAGAAUAGAUUGGGUAUUUUAGUCAACAAAUGCAUGUCUUGGGUAACCAUAUCUAGGAUUUCCAUAUUAGUUACUUUUCUCUUUUUCAUGAUAACAUUCCUGCCUACAACCAUUUAAGGGAGGAAGGACUUACUUAGGCUCACAGUUUGAAGAAUACAGUCUGCCCACCACAGUGGAGAAGACAUGGUCAGCAGGUGGCUUCAUGGUAGCAGGAGAAUGCAGCUACAAUGUUCUACCUCCUCACUUGUUGGCAGAACAGGAAACAAAGACAAGAAAGGAAGUGGGACUCGGCUAUACAUCUCAAGGCUUCAGUGAUUAACCUCCUCCCUUGAAGCUCCAGUACCUGAAGUUUCCACAGCAUCUGAGAACCAAGCACCUGCAUCAAGAUCAUGAGCCCAUGAGACAGAUUUCUUAUUCAAAUCGUAAUAAGUCCCAACUGGGACGUGGGGACAGAGCUUGUGUCAAUGGGAUCCAUAUAUGAAUAAGCAUAAGGACCCUUUAGGCCCUGGGGAGAGCAUCAACUUCCUUUUCUUGU
Molecule: long non-coding RNA, 2848 nt
Filed under: Mus musculus (house mouse)
Lineage: Eukaryota; Metazoa; Chordata; Mammalia; Rodentia; Muridae
Description: long non-coding RNA chr10:24202900-24205748
Source: RNAcentral